GGUAGGAUACUCAAGUGGCCAACGAGGGCGGACUGUAAAUCCGCCGGCUUACGCCUUCCUCGGUUCGAAUCCGAGUCCUACCACCA
RNAcentral lists this transfer RNA (86 nucleotides) under Opitutaceae bacterium. RNAcentral's name for it is "tRNA-Tyr". It matches the Rfam family "tRNA". From Rfam's summary of the family: Transfer RNA (tRNA) molecules are approximately 80 nucleotides in length. Their secondary structure includes four short double-helical elements and three loops (D, anti-codon, and T loops). Further hydrogen bonds mediate the characteristic L-shaped molecular structure. tRNAs have two regions of fundamental functional importance: the anti-codon, which is responsible for specific mRNA codon recognition, and the 3' end, to which the tRNAs corresponding amino acid is attached (by aminoacyl-tRNA synthetases). tRNAs cope with the degeneracy of the genetic code in two manners: having more than one tRNA (with a specific anti-codon) for a particular amino acid; and 'wobble' base-pairing, i.e. permitting non-standard base-pairing at the 3rd anti-codon position. The record is from RNAcentral. RNAcentral also lists the same sequence under 1 other name. Lineage: Bacteria; Pseudomonadati; Verrucomicrobiota; Opitutia; Opitutales; Opitutaceae.